UGUAGGUUAAGAGUGGCUGUCAACACUACAGUCGAUUAGUAGAUAUAACGAGCCCUACUGUUCUAAAUAUUAUAUCAUUCAGGUCGAAGCCCAAAAGUCGAAGCUUCAUGGGAGUCAUUGUAAAGUUGACUUGAUCAUCUCUGACUAUGCAGAUAAAUAAUUUACAAGUAAUUAAAGCAAUUAAGUAAAAUUUUUGCAAGUCAUCUCACAUCAGUUAAUUUUCAAGUGUUAAGAUUGUUUUAUGAUGAAAAAGGCAGUCGAAGACUAAACAGCCAGCCAGUUGAUAAGCUUGUUAUGUUGAAAUAAAUAUCUUAAAGCAUAUACAGUUUAUAAUAUGUAUAUUUUUGUUUUGGUGGUGUAUAUUUUACUAAGCGUACAAGCGGAGGAAGAAAUAUCAUAAUAAAAAUUUCAAAAAACCCGGGUUGAAUAAUACGAUCUGUUAUGAAUUAAUGUCGAAAUUUAAACUAAUGUUAAUUAAAUAGUUAUUGUUUAUGCCAAAAAACUGCUGAUAAGGCCCAGGUAUUAGUGAACACCGGGUUUAAAAUUAGCUGAGAAAAAAUGCCUGAUACUUAACCUCAAAAAUCAGAAAAUGAAGAAUGCGAAGCUUUAUAGGCGUCAAUUCUUGUCAAUUUAUAUGACGAUAUAGAAUUGAAUUAUAAUAAAGUUUUGCAGCUGCAUUGCAGUGAUAGAUACUUGACAGCUUACAUUGAAAUUACGACAAAUAUUAUUUAUAUAAAAAUAAGGCAAGAUUUUGUUACUUUUUUUCAUUACAAUGCCGAGUUGAUAAGACACGUUUUUUCUCAAUAAUAUUUAUGAGACGAGAUUGACAACUUUACUCGAGUAAGUGAAGGUCUCGCAAUUCGAUAUUUUCUUGAGUUCUUGUCACAGGCUGUACAGGUUUGUGCAACAUUGUAGCUACAAUUUGCCUGUUAGUGUACAGUCUAAAUCGAAAAUUAGCACUUUAUUACGUACUACCUCGCAGGUGAUUAAGUUAUGCAAAAAUUACGAAUCAUGUAUAACGUAAUAACGAGUUAUCUUAUCAUAUAAAUCUUUUCAAAAUUUAUUAAUGCAAUAUUUUACUUAUUAAUUUAUGCAAUCAAAUUGUCAAUUUUAAGAUAAUUCUAUUUACCCCUGUACGGAAUGAAAAGCGGGGUAUAAUUUGCCUACAACUAGUUACUUCACUUGUUCUAUUCUAUGAUUCUCGUAAUCUAACUCUCCCGAAUGUUUUUUAUCAUUCCAAAUAUACGGAAAAAAAUGAUGUUCAAAAUUUUAAUCGUAGUUUAUUUUUGACUUAAAGUUUGUAUAUUCGAUACUAAUAUCAAAACAGGAUCACUAUAUAUAUUACAAAAUGGUUAUUAUUUAUAUUAAAAUUUGAUGCACAGAAGAGCAAAAUUUGUAAUUUCGUAUAUUAAAAUUAAUAUGAAAAAGAAUUGAUAAAUUGCUAUCUAGUUAUUACUAUUCAAAUAAACAGAAAAAUUU
Molecule: long non-coding RNA, 1479 nt
Organism: Microplitis demolitor
Lineage: Eukaryota; Metazoa; Arthropoda; Insecta; Hymenoptera; Braconidae
Exons: 3
Source: RefSeq, a predicted model, not a curated record